This 376-nucleotide ribosomal RNA is filed under the name uncultured bacterium. Its description in RNAcentral is "bacterial SSU rRNA". It matches the Rfam family "Bacterial small subunit ribosomal RNA", at positions 523 to 898 of the family's 1533-position model. The record is from RNAcentral.
AUACGUAGGGGGCGAGCGUUGUCCGGAAUUAUUGGGCGUAAAGCGCGCGCAGGCGGCCGAUUAAGUCAGGUGUGAAAGGCUGCGGCUCAACCGCAGAGUUGCAUCUGAAACUGGUCGGCUUGAGUGCAGGAGAGGGGAGCGGAAUUCCCGGUGUAGCGGUGGAAUGCGUAGAGAUCGGGAGGAACACCAGUGGCGAAGGCGGCUCUCUGGCCUGUAACUGACGCUGAGGCGCGAAAACGUGGGGAGCGAACAGGAUUAGAUACCCUGGUAGUCCACGCCGUAAACGAUGAGUGCUAGGUGUUGGGGGCAUCAGGCCCUCUGUGCCGAAGGAAACCCAAUAAGCACUCCGCCUGGGGAGUACGGCCGCAAGGCUGAA